Molecule: ribosomal RNA, 227 nt
Filed under: uncultured Glomeromycotina
Lineage: Eukaryota; Fungi; Glomeromycota
Description: partial small subunit ribosomal RNA
Rfam family: Eukaryotic small subunit ribosomal RNA
Source: RNAcentral
AACAGCCGCGGUAAUUCCAGCUCCAAUAGCGUAUAUUAAAGUUGUUGCAGUUAAAAAGCCGUAGUUGAAUUUCGGAUUGACACAUCGGUCGUGCCUUAAGGGGUAUGAACUGGUGUAGCAAUUUCUCACCUUCUGGAGAACCGCGAUGCCCUUAAUUGGGUGUCGCGGGAACCAGGAUUUUACUCUGAACAAAUUAGAUCGCUUAAAGAAGGCCUAUGCUCGAAUAC